Non-coding RNA from Dictyocaulus viviparus (bovine lungworm), 73 nucleotides. The record is from Rfam. NCBI's taxonomy places the organism in Eukaryota, Metazoa, Nematoda, Chromadorea, Rhabditida, Metastrongylidae.
GCCUCAGUAGUGUAAUGGAUCAGCACAGCAGACGGGAUAUCUCUAAGUGCGGGUUCGAGUCCCGCCUGAGGUU